AAAGUAUCGAUGACAAUAUUGUUUUAACAUCAUAGUAUUUUAAAGGGGUUAUUAAGGAUAACUAUCAAAUUUAUAAAAAAGGAGGUACUCUACCAAAAGCUUUCUAAAAUAUUUAUAUUUAUAUUUAUAUUUAUAUUUAUAUUUAUAUAUGUAUUUAUAUUUAUAUUUAUAUUUAUAUUUAUAUUUAUAUUUAUAUUUUUUUAAGGAAAGCGAUCCUAAGGUAAACCUUUAGUAUAAUUUACUUCCUGAAGUAAAACAUUUUAUUAAGGAAAGGAAAGGAAAUCAACCGAGACUCCGAAAGUAAUGGCGAGUGAAAUCGGAUUAGCCUAAAUUACUUUAUAAAUUGAACCGUUAAAUUAAACAAAAUAUUAUUUCUAAGUAAUUUGAUUACUGCUUAAAUAUAAAAUAAAUAUUAGUUUAAUUAGCAACAAUCUAAAUUAAACUCAAAUAAAAAAUAGAUUGUUCUAAAAUAGGUUAAAAUCCAAGUCCUGUAGAUUUAUAAAGUAAAGUAAUUAUUAAAACUAAUAUUUAAUAUUAGAUAAAUAAUUUUGUUAUUCUUUAGCAUUGUUGUUUAUCCUCUGUCUAACUUCUCUUUCCUCCAUGUCUCCCUCCUCCUAAAUCCUCCUAGCCUUAGGUUAGGAUUAAAUAAGGAAGUCUCUAACUAAGCGAGCCUUACGGCUUGGGUGAAACUAUAGAAGAAAAAGAAGCAGGUGGUAUUAUUUGUUACAAUAAAAAAAAGUACGAUGAGAGAAAACUUGUCGGAAUAUAGGGGAACCAUCCUCUAAGGCUAAGUAUUAUAAAUUUAGUGAUAGCGAAAAGUACUGUAAAGGAAAUGUUUGAAAUAAAAAUAAUUGUAGUAAACAAUACUUUAAAUUUUAAUUUGAAAUAUAUUUUAUUUAUUUUAAAAUUUAAAUAUGAAAUAAUUGAAUUAGUAACUCUAUAAGCAGUCGAAAUUCUACUUUUAAAAGAUUAAUGAAUGACGGCGUACCUUUUGCAUAAUGGGUCAGCAAGUUAAUAAGAGUAGCAAGGUUUAAAGCCCUAGCGAAAGCGACUGGACUAUUUAUUAAAUAGUGAUGGAUAAGUUACUUUUAUUAGACCCGAAGCCAGGUGAUCUUACCAAGACCAGUUUAUAAUUGAGCGUACGGGUGAAUGUUGCAUUAUUCUCCGAAGAGUUUUGGUAAGCGGCGAAAUACCAAUCUGACCUGGUGCUAUCUGGUUUUCUACCGAAACAUAUUUAAGUAUGACAUCUACAUUUAUAGAUUUAUGGAGGUACAGAAAGGCAACUCCCAACAAGAAAUAGUUUUAUGUUGUGCCCUAUUUCUUAAAAAAUAGACAGCAUCCUUAGUCGAGCAUCGAGCAUCCUUAUCUCCAACCUUUCGUCACUUCACCUUUCGUAUAUAAGUACGUAGUACAGAGUACGGAGCCCUUAAAAGGGAGUGGUGGUUGUUGUAUGUAGAGGGAGGAGGAAAUGGAAGCAAACAUGCGUAGCCGUAGGCAGGCGGGAAAAUUUUUAAUUUAAUUUUAAUCGAUUAAAUAAGUUUUUACAUAAUACUAUUUGGAGUUCAGGUUGCGGGGACGUAGAAAUCUUACCUUUGGAGGCGAAUCUCGGAAUUACAUAAAUUGAUAGUAGAUAUUCAGACUAUUCAUGCUAAGUUGAAUAGUCAAGACGGAAACAGCCGAGAACACAGAUCAAGGUCCCAAAUGAUUGUUAAGUGAAAUUAAGGAUGUAGCAUAAUCGUAUACAGCUGUUAAGUGAGCCUGGCAGUCGCUACUUAUAAUGAUCGUAUGUAACAACGCAUCAGCAGUAAGACUGUAGCACCGAAAAUUUAACGGGUCUUAAACAAUCAACCGAUAUCGUGUUGGUAUUAAAUAAAAUAUUGUACUCUCCCGAUACCUGCCAUACGACAAUGACACCGUGUUAUUCUAUUCUAUUGAUUAGGUUAACUCUAUGUAGUUGAGUAUGGAUUACGGAGUACGGAUUCUUGAGUACAGCACCAUUCUACGGUUAUGUUACCCCUUCGGAGCGUAGACGUAGCCAUGAUGCUUAUUUUUAUUUUAUUUUUUAUCUAGGUAGUAGAACAUUCAGUCAAUCUAUUGAGAAAAUAGUGUUUCAUUAUUUUUUAGGGAACUGAAGAGAGAAUGCUGACAUGAGUAACGUAAAAGAAGUUAAUAAUACUUCUCGCCGAAAACGAAAGGGUUGCACAACUAGAUUAAAUCUUUGCCACUGUGUUAAUGCGGCCUCUAAGGACCCUAACCAAAGUUAUGGCUGAUGAGUAAAUAGUAGAAAGUCCUAAAAUAGUUUUAAUAAAAUAAAAUUAAUGGACCAGGAAAUUAAUAUUAUUAUCUUAACUUUUUAAUAGAAUAUAUUGUAUUUUUAUUAAUAGAAGAGAUUAUUACUACCGUACCCUAAACCGACACAGGUUCGUAGGUAGGGAAUACUAAGGCGCAGAGCUAAAAGUUGUUAAGGAACUCGGCAAGAUUACCUCAUAAGUUAGACGACAAGAGGUACCACUUAUAUAUUUUAUUUUUAAUCUAUAUAAGGAGGUGGCACAAAAUCGGAGGCCCCGACUGUUUACUAAAAACACAACAGUCUGCAAUGAUGAAUAUCAUAGUAUAGAUUGUGAAAUUUGCCCGAUGCCAUUAAUAUAAGAGCGGUCAUUGAAAAAUGUGACUAAUCGAAAGUCUGGUUAAUAGCGGUCUCCUAAGGUAGCAAAAUCAGUUGGCCAUUAAAUGUGGUCCGGUAUCAAUAAUGUAACGAUGGUCUCACUGUCUCUACAACUUGCUCAGUGAAAUUGAAUUACCCGUGAAGAUGCGGGUUAUCUUCAGAGGGACGGGAAAGACCCUAUGCAGCUUCUACUGUAGUUAGUUAUCAUGUAAAUCUAGAACAGCCUUCUCUAAUAGUAAAUAGGGAUGUCGAUAGACGAAUUUUGGAAACCUUAUAGUUUAGGCUGGGUUUAUGUUUACCUUAUUUGUAUUCAAUUCGAACAAAAAGGGAGAGUUGACUAAUUGGCAGUUUGACUGGGGCGGUCGUCUUUAAUAGAGUAGCAAAGUACAUCCAAAUUUUUCAAAAAUUCACAAAAGAAGUAUUAAAGGUAUAGCUAGGCAUUGAAUGGAGAUCAAUCGACCAGUGAAGGGUUGCGCAGAGUUCAAUGGCGGAAAGCAUGCUUAACUGAAAGACCUAUAAGUCGCACAGAUACGUAAGUAGGGCAUAGUGACCCCUCGCUAUAGUAUGGAAUAGACGGGGAUCAAUAAAUAAAAGUUACGCUAGGGAUAACAGGCUGAUCACCGACGAGAGUACACAUUGUCUCGGUGGUUUGGCACCUCGAUGUCGACUCAUCCUAUCCUCCGGGGGUAGAAGCUUGGAAGGGUUCGGCUGUUCGCCGAUUAAAAGGAUACGCGAGUUGGGUUUAAUACGACGUGAGUCAGUAUGGUCCCUAUCUUCUGAAGAGAUAACUAGUAAACGGGGGCAGACCUUCUAGUACGAAAGGAUCAAUAGGCUGUGUUUCUAUAGUGUACCAAUUGUUUUUACUUUAUUACUACUUAUCUUCUAAUGAUUGUAACAAUACAAAGAUUGGAAGGAUUAAUUUUCUCUUUUAAAAAGGGGGAAUUUUUAUUUAAAAACCAAUUUUAAAUGGUGGUAAUUAGGAACGCAUAGUUGGGUAGCCACAAACAUAAUAGAUAAAUGCUGAAUGUAUAU
RNAcentral lists this ribosomal RNA (3697 nucleotides) under Lentinula edodes (shiitake mushroom). RNAcentral's name for it is "large subunit ribosomal RNA". It matches the Rfam family "Bacterial large subunit ribosomal RNA". Lineage: Eukaryota; Fungi; Basidiomycota; Agaricomycetes; Agaricales; Omphalotaceae. The record is from RNAcentral.